CCUACGGGGGGCAGCAGUGAGGAAUAUUGGUCAAUGGGCGAGAGCCUGAACCAGCCAAGUCGCGUGAGGGAGUACUGCCCUAUGGGUUGUAAACCUCUUUUGUCGGGGAGCAAAAGCCGGACGUGUCCGGCUGUGAGAGUACCCGAAGAAAAAGCAUCGGCUAACUCCGUGCCAGCAGCCGCGGUAAUACGGAGGAUGCGAGCGUUAUCCGGAUUUAUUGGGGUUAAAGGGUGCGCAGUCGGAUUUUUAAGUCAGCGGUCAAAUCGUGGGGCUCAACCCCAUCCAGCCGUUGAAACUGGGGAUCUAGAGUGUGCGAGAGGUAUGCGGAAUGCGUGGUGUAGCGGUGAAAUGCAUAGAUAUCACGCAGAACCCCGAUUGCGAAGGCAGCAUACCGGUGCACAACUGACGCUCAGGCACGAAAGCGUGGGUAUCGAACAGGAUUAGAUACCCUGGUAGUC
This 458-nucleotide ribosomal RNA is filed under the name uncultured bacterium. RNAcentral's name for it is "partial 16S ribosomal RNA". It matches the Rfam family "Bacterial small subunit ribosomal RNA", at positions 338 to 795 of the family's 1533-position model. The record is from RNAcentral.